CCUACGGGAGGCAGCAGUGGGGAAUAUUGCGCAAUGGGCGAAAGCCUGACGCAGCGACGCCGCGUGAGGGAUGAAGGUCUUCGGAUCGUAAAACUCUGUCAGCAGGGAAGAACGGUCACUGUGCUAAUCAGCAGUGAAUUGACGGUACCUGCACAGGAAGCACCGGCUAACUCCGUGCCAGCAGCCGCGGUAAUACGGCGGGUGCGAGCGUUGAUCGGAAUUACUGGGCGUAAAGCGCUCGUAGGCGGUAUGUCAAGUCAAGGGUGAAAUCCCCGGGCUCAACGGGGGAACUGCCUUUGAAACUGGCAAACUGGAGUGUGUGAGAGGAUAGUGGAAUGCCAGGUGUAGGAGUGAAAUCCGUAGAUAUCGGGAGGAACAUCAGUGGCGAAGGCGACUAUCUGGCACGUAACUGACGCUGAGGAGCGAAAGCGUGGGUAGCAAACAGGAUUAGAUACCCGAGUAGUC
This 465-nucleotide ribosomal RNA is filed under the name uncultured bacterium. RNAcentral describes it as "partial 16S ribosomal RNA". It matches the Rfam family "Bacterial small subunit ribosomal RNA", at positions 338 to 795 of the family's 1533-position model. The record is from RNAcentral.